UUUUGUAAAAUAAUUUUACAUCAUUUUUGUGCAAAAUUUUCUUAUUCUGAAAACUAGGUCAGCUCACUCCUGAAUUGAGUUGGCUCACUUCAGUGGGUCGACUAAGUCUGAUACUUGAUCAACUAAUUGAUCAUGACUAGCAACCAUUACUGUUUGGUCUGAGACAACUAGGUUGGCUCAGUCAGCACUGAGCCGACUAAGCCAAGGGACUGGAUCGACUAAGUUCAAAACUGAGUCGGCUCAGUGGGCAUGCCAGUAGGUUUCACAUAGUUCAGAUCUAAAAAUUCUCAUAUAAACUAAAAUAAAAUUAAUCAUAAACAAAUUUUAGAUCAUAUCUAAAUAUUUUAUGAUUCUAAAUUUUAUUUUUUAUGAUUAAAAUAAUUUUAAUUAUAUAGAUUAGAUAUUUUAUUUUUCAUACAACUCAAACUUUAUAUCACAUGCAAUAAAUCUUAGGAUUUCAAUAUCUAAGAUUUUGUAGAAAAAUAAGUUCUUCCUUUUAUGUUCUUCUUCAAGGGAUUAAAUGACAUGGCACCCCUACACACCA
Molecule: long non-coding RNA, 544 nt
Filed under: Elaeis guineensis (African oil palm)
Lineage: Eukaryota; Viridiplantae; Streptophyta; Magnoliopsida; Arecales; Arecaceae
Description: long non-coding RNA (EGUI_LNC044538)
Source: RNAcentral